RNAcentral lists this transfer RNA (72 nucleotides) under Chelidoperca hirundinacea. RNAcentral's name for it is "tRNA-Asn". Lineage: Eukaryota; Metazoa; Chordata; Actinopteri; Perciformes; Serranidae. The record is from RNAcentral.
AGUCAGAUGCUCGCAGAUUGAGCGGCUUAGCUUGCGCUAAGAAAAGUGUAGGAUCGAGGCCUACUCUGUUUU